Molecule: ribosomal RNA, 443 nt
Filed under: uncultured bacterium
Lineage: Bacteria
Description: partial 16S ribosomal RNA
Rfam family: Bacterial small subunit ribosomal RNA
Source: RNAcentral
CCUACGGGUGGCAGCAGUGGGGAAUAUUGGGCAAUGGGCGCAAGCCUGACCCAGCAACGCCGCGUGAAGGAAGAAGGCUUUCGGGUUGUAAACUUCUUUUAAGCGGGAAGAGCAGAAGACGGUACCUCUUGAAUAAGCCACGGCUAACUACGUGCCAGCAGCCGCUGUAAUACGUAGGUGGCAAGCGUUGUCCGGAUUUACUGGGUGUAAAGGGCGUGCAGCCGGGAAGACAAGUCAGAUGUGAAAUGCCCCCGCUCAACGGGGUGAAGUGCCAUUGAUACUGCCUUGCUGGAAUGCGGAUGCCGUGGGAGGAAUGUGUGGUGUAGCGGUGAAAUGCAUAGAUAUCACACAGAACACCGAUUGCGAAGGCAUCUCACGAAUCCGCGAUUGACGCUGAUGCACGAAAGCGUGGGUAUCAAACAGGAUUAGAUACCCGAGUAGUC